RNAcentral lists this long non-coding RNA (233 nucleotides) under Setaria viridis. RNAcentral's name for it is "long non-coding RNA (SVIR_LNC001467)". Lineage: Eukaryota; Viridiplantae; Streptophyta; Magnoliopsida; Poales; Poaceae. The record is from RNAcentral.
GUUACGAAUGCAACUUGACUUGCGAGGGUUCUGCAGCUUCGAUCUGGCAACCUUGUAGUGCCGUGCGAAGAUGAUGAACGACGACCGUUGUUGUCUGGCAGCUUCGACUGAAAAAACCAAGUAGCGAGGUUACACAUGCAUGUAUGGACAAGCACUGAUGGCUACUUUGGUCCUUGGACAACUAGUAUCAGCUUAGUGUGGCAAGGAGGAACCCUCGCUUACUGUUAGUUUUG